UACGUAGGGGGCAAGCGUUAUCCGGAUUUACUGGGUGUAAAGGGGGCGCAGACGGCGAUGCAAGCCAGGAGUGAAAGCCCGGGGCCCAACCCCGGGACUGCUCUUGGAACUGCGUGGCUGGGGUGCAGGAGGGGCAGGCGGAAUUCCUGGUGUAGCGGUGAAAUGCGUAGAUAUCAGGAGGAACACCGGUGGCGAAGGCGGCCUGCUGGACUGCAACUGACGUUGAGGCCCGAAAGCGUGGGGAGCAAACAGG
Molecule: ribosomal RNA, 253 nt
Filed under: uncultured bacterium
Lineage: Bacteria
Description: partial 16S ribosomal RNA
Rfam family: Bacterial small subunit ribosomal RNA
Source: RNAcentral